GACGAACGCUGGCGGCGUGCUUAACACAUGCAAGUCGAACGGAAAGGCCCUGCUUUUGUGGGGUGCUCGAGUGGCGAACGGGUGAGUAACACGUGAGUAACCUGCCCUUGACUUUGGGAUAACUUCAGGAAACUGGGGCUAAUACCGGAUAGGAGCUCCUGCUGCAUGGUGGGGGUUGGAAAGUUUCGGCGGUUGGGGAUGGACUCGCGGCUUAUCAGCUUGUUGGUGGGGUAGUGGCUUACCAAGGCUUUGACGGGUAGCCGGCAUGAGAGGGUGACCGGCCACAUUGGGACUGAGAUACGGACCAGACGCCUACGGGAGGCAGCAGUGGGGAAUAUUGCACAAUGGGCGGAAGCCUGAUGCAGCAACGCCGCGUGCGGGAUGACGGUCUUCGGGUUGUAAACCGCUUUCGCCUGUGACGAAGCGUGAGUGACGGUAAUGGGUAAAGAAGCACCGGCUAACUACGCG
Molecule: ribosomal RNA, 468 nt
Filed under: uncultured bacterium
Lineage: Bacteria
Description: partial 16S ribosomal RNA
Rfam family: Bacterial small subunit ribosomal RNA
Source: RNAcentral